GGAAAGGCAGGCUAAGGGUGAGGCAAUUCAGUUGCUAUCUGAAUGAAGUGAUUCUUAUAGGUUCAAGUCCUAUUCUUUCCG
RNAcentral lists this transfer RNA (81 nucleotides) under Cutaneotrichosporon cutaneum. RNAcentral's name for it is "tRNA-Ser". It matches the Rfam family "tRNA". From Rfam's summary of the family: Transfer RNA (tRNA) molecules are approximately 80 nucleotides in length. Their secondary structure includes four short double-helical elements and three loops (D, anti-codon, and T loops). Further hydrogen bonds mediate the characteristic L-shaped molecular structure. tRNAs have two regions of fundamental functional importance: the anti-codon, which is responsible for specific mRNA codon recognition, and the 3' end, to which the tRNAs corresponding amino acid is attached (by aminoacyl-tRNA synthetases). tRNAs cope with the degeneracy of the genetic code in two manners: having more than one tRNA (with a specific anti-codon) for a particular amino acid; and 'wobble' base-pairing, i.e. permitting non-standard base-pairing at the 3rd anti-codon position. The record is from RNAcentral. Lineage: Eukaryota; Fungi; Basidiomycota; Tremellomycetes; Trichosporonales; Trichosporonaceae.